GAAAUGCGAUAAGUAAUGCGAAUUGCAGAAUUCAGUGAAUCAUCAAAUCUUUGAACGCAAAUUGCACUCUCGGGUAUGCCCGGGAGUACGCUUCUUUCAGUAUCGGUUCUAUCUAAACUCGUCUGCGUUUUUACGAACAAUGACGGAAAUUGAGUGUCUCACUUUUCUCGAGUGAGUUGCUUGAAAGGUAGAAGCGGUAGUU
This 202-nucleotide unclassified non-coding RNA is filed under the name uncultured fungus. RNAcentral's name for it is "sequence contains ITS1". The stretch from base 1 to 105 matches the Rfam family "5.8S ribosomal RNA", at positions 50 to 154 of the family's 154-position model. From Rfam's summary of the family: 5.8S ribosomal RNA (5.8S rRNA) is a component of the large subunit of the eukaryotic ribosome. It is transcribed by RNA polymerase I as part of the 45S precursor that also contains 18S and 28S rRNA. The record is from RNAcentral. Lineage: Eukaryota; Fungi.